Long non-coding RNA from Bufo bufo (common toad), 126 nucleotides. RefSeq lists it as uncharacterized. The record is from RefSeq and is a predicted model, not a curated record. The transcript is spliced from 3 exons. NCBI's taxonomy places the organism in Eukaryota, Metazoa, Chordata, Amphibia, Anura, Bufonidae.
GGAAAAUGUACUAGCAUGUGUCAGAAAGCCUGGUCUCAGUCGCAGGUCAUGGGUCCUCCAACAGGACAAUGACCCAAAACACACAGCUAAAAACAUCCAAGAAUUUCUAAGAAUAAAGCAUUGUAC